GAUGAACGCUAGCGGCAGGCUUAAUACAUGCAAGUCGUGGGGCAGCAGGUGUAGCAAUACAUGCUGGCGACCGGCAAACGGGUGCGGAACACGUACGCAACCUUCCUUUAACUGGAGAAUAGCCCCUCGAAAGAGGGAUUAAUACUCCGUAACAUCCCGACACAGCAUUGUGAUGGGAUUAUAGCUCCGGCGGUUAAAGAUGGGCGUGCGCCUGAUUAGGUAGUUGGCGGGGUAACGGCCCACCAAGCCUUCGAUCAGUAACUGGUGUGA
This 270-nucleotide ribosomal RNA is filed under the name uncultured bacterium. RNAcentral describes it as "partial 16S ribosomal RNA". It matches the Rfam family "Bacterial small subunit ribosomal RNA", at positions 28 to 295 of the family's 1533-position model. The record is from RNAcentral.